GAAAAAUAAAUGGCUAGACCUGAAAAUGGCUGUCUAGCUAUGAUCAACAACCAACUUGACAGAUGCUUGAAGGAUUUUUUAAAAGAAUAAUGUGGAAAUAUUGUGCAAUCCAGGUGGGAAAAUCUCUUAGAGACUUACCCAAAAAGACAAACGGCUCUAAUUGCUGCCAAAGGACUUUUUGAACUCCCGUCAUGCUUUAUAAAAAGCAUCCAAAGCUCUUUCCAGAGGUCUUUCCAAGCUUCAGCUCGUCCAUCACUGGGAGUGAGCUCAAUUAUGGCGCUCGCUCCCCACUGUGGUCAAUAACCUUGAUAACAAGACAGCGCAGAACCAGAUGUGCAUGAAGAUAUCAGGGCACCUUCAUCCUUCAAGAAAAGAGAGCAAUAAGGAUUGUGAGAAAAAAAAAGGGUCCUCAGAGAGAAGCGGGAAUAUCAGCAGGAACCCAAAACAGGAGGAUCACUAACAUAUGAGAGAGUUAGAGAGGGAGAGAGAGAGAGAGAGCCUGUAAGAUGUGCGUGACUUGCUGCAGAGAAGUCAGGCGCAGGAGAGCAGAACUGGACUUCCAUGUUUCCCGCAUCUUCUCCAAGCUCAACCUCCGACAGGGCUACUGCAGGUGCAUCUUCAUCCAGAGAGCAGGAACGUAAUGCCCUUCAUCACCCUCACUGGACUGCAUCGCUACAAGCACAUGGCUUUUGGCCUGAGCUCAGCACCAAGUUGCUUUCAGAAGAUCAUGACCACUGUCCUCGCCGGCUGCCCUGAUGUUGUGGUCGACCCGUAUGACAGUGUUCUGCAUGGUCCAGACACUGCCACUCACUGUGAGUGCCUAUGGCAGGUGUUCACCAGCCUCAACCGCC
RNAcentral lists this long non-coding RNA (851 nucleotides) under Salmo salar (Atlantic salmon). Its description in RNAcentral is "lncRNA (ENSSSAG00000079440.2)". Lineage: Eukaryota; Metazoa; Chordata; Actinopteri; Salmoniformes; Salmonidae. The record is from RNAcentral.